GUGCAGCAGUCGCGAAUUUUUCUCAAUGGGGGCAACCCUGAAGGAGCGACGCCGCGUGGAGGAUGAAGGCUUUCGGGUUGUAAACUCCUGUCAUUUGGGAACAAGGCCCCGAUAUUAACUGUAUCGGGGUUGAUAGUACCAGAAGAGGAAGGGACGGCUAACUCUGUGCCAGCAGCCGCGGUAAUAUAGAGGUCCCAAGCGUUGUUCGGAUUCAUUGGGCGUAAAGGGUGCGUAGGUGGCGCUGUAAGUCGGGUGUGAAAUUUCGAGGCUUAACCUCGAAACUGCAUUCGAUACUGCAGUGCUUGAGGACUGGAGAGGAGACUGGAAUUCAUGGUGUAGCAGUGAAAUGCGUAGAGAUCAUGAGGAAGACCAGUGGCGAAGGCGGGUCUCUGGACAGUUCCUGACACUGAGGCACGAAGGCCAGGGGAGCAAACGGGAUUAGAUACCCCUGUAGU
RNAcentral lists this ribosomal RNA (455 nucleotides) under uncultured organism. Its description in RNAcentral is "bacterial SSU rRNA". It matches the Rfam family "Bacterial small subunit ribosomal RNA", at positions 346 to 794 of the family's 1533-position model. The record is from RNAcentral.